AGAGUUUGAUCCUGGCUCAGGAUGAACGCUAGCGGCAGGCUUAACACAUGCAAGUCGAGGGGUAUAGGUUUUCGGACCUAGAGACCGGCGCACGGGUGCGUAACGCGUAUGCAAUCUACCUUUCACAGAAGGAUAGCCCAGAGAAAUUUGGAUUAAUACCUCAUAGUAUAAUGAGUUGGCAUCAAUACAUUAUUAAAGUCACAACGGUGAAGGAUGAGCAUGCGUCCCAUUAGCUUGUUGGUAAGGUAACGGCUUACCAAGGCUACGAUGGGUAGGGGUCCUGAGAGGGAGAUCCCCCACACUGGUACUGAGACACGGACCAGACUCCUACGGGAGGCAGCAGUGAGGAAUAUUGGACAAUGGGCGCAAGCCUGAUCCAGCCAUGCCGCGUGCAGGAUGACGGUCCUAUGGAUUGUAAACUGCUUUUGCACAGGAAGAAACAACUCUACGUGUAGAGUCUUGACGGUACUGUGAGAAUAAGGAUCGGCUAACUCCGUGCCAGCAGCCGCGGUAAUACGGAGGAUCCAAGCGUUAUCCGGAAUCAUUGGGUUUAAAGGGUCCGUAGGCGGUUUAGUAAGUCAGUGGUGAAAGCCCAUCGCUCAACGGUGGAACGGCCAUUGAUACUGCUAAACUUGAAUUAUUAGGAAGUAACUAGAAUAUGUAGUGUAGCGGUGAAAUGCUUAGAGAUUACAUGGAAUACCAAUUGCGAAGGCAGGUUACUACUAAUGGAUUGACGCUGAUGGACGAAAGCGUGGGUAGCGAACAGGAUUAGAUACCCUGGUAGUCCACGCCGUAAACGAUGGAUACUAGCUGUUGGGAGCAAUCUCAGUGGCUAAGCGAAAGUGAUAAGUAUCCCACCUGGGGAGUACGUUCGCAAGAAUGAAACUCAAAGGAAUUGACGGGGGCCCGCACAAGCGGUGGAGCAUGUGGUUUAAUUCGAUGAUACGCGAGGAACCUUACCAAGGCUUAAAUGUAGAUUGACCGGUUUGGAAACAGACUUUUCGCAAGACAAUUUACAAGGUGCUGCAUGGUUGUCGUCAGCUCGUGCCGUGAGGUGUCAGGUUAAGUCCUAUAACGAGCGCAACCCCUGUUGUUAGUUGCCAGCGAGUCAUGUCGGGAACUCUAACGAGACUGCCAGUGCAAACUGUGAGGAAGGUGGGGAUGACGUCAAAUCAUCACGGCCCUUACGCCUUGGGCUACACACGUGCUACAAUGGCCGGUACAGAGAGCAGCCACUGGGUGACCAGGAGCGAAUCUAUAAAACCGGUCACAGUUCGGAUCGGAGUCUGCAACUCGACUCCGUGAAGCUGGAAUCGCUGGUAAUCGGAUAUCAGCCAUGAUCCGGUGAAUACGUUCCCGGGCCUUGUACACACCGCCCGUCAAGCCAUGGAAGCUGGGGGUGCCUGAAGUCGGUGACCGCAAGGAGCUGCCUAGGGUAAAACUGGUAACUAGGGCUAAGUCGUAACAAGGUA
Molecule: ribosomal RNA, 1472 nt
Filed under: metagenome
Description: bacterial SSU rRNA
Rfam family: Bacterial small subunit ribosomal RNA
Source: RNAcentral